AGUGGCUCGUGAUCAGUUUCAGGCUUGUCCAUGACGUCACUUUUCACAAAGGAUAAUAUUAUCGUCCUAAAACGACAGUUCUUACCUGACAAUGCCCAGGGCCACGCCAGCAUAGUCCAGGGCAGGCCUGGUCAGCCUGUCCGGCCGCAUGCCGAACCAACCGAACCUCCCGCUGAACCAGCCCGUCAGCAGGCACCAGGGUGGUCCCAAAGAACACACACGACACAGCUGCUGCAAUGAACCCGAUGUAGGCUUCGUCUUUAGUGUAGUUACUUGGCUGUAUGUGAGCCGCG
Branchiostoma belcheri (Belcher's lancelet) is the source of this 293-nucleotide long non-coding RNA. RefSeq lists it as uncharacterized. The transcript is spliced from 3 exons. NCBI's taxonomy places the organism in Eukaryota, Metazoa, Chordata, Leptocardii, Amphioxiformes, Branchiostomatidae. The record is from RefSeq and is a predicted model, not a curated record.